RNAcentral lists this long non-coding RNA (316 nucleotides) under Homo sapiens (human). RNAcentral's name for it is "HSALNT0291385". The record is from RNAcentral. Lineage: Eukaryota; Metazoa; Chordata; Mammalia; Primates; Hominidae.
GGUCUUUGACCUUUGACACUUGCCAAAGCAUCGAGUGCGAUUGGAGGGAGACGGGGUGUCACCAUGUUGCCCAAGCUGGUCUCAAACUCCUGGACUCAAGCAACCUGCACAUCUCGGCCUCGCAAAGUGCUGGGAUUACGGGCAUGAACCACCGUGCCCCACAGGAAUGUAUAUUACUAACAAAUUCCCUGGUGAUGCUAGUGUUGCUGAUCUGGAGACCACACUUUGAGAACAAAGGACUUAGAACAUCCCAGGUUCAAGGACUGCUGUCCUUAUAAGAAGAGGAAAUUUGGACACAGACGUGCACAGAGGGAAG